Molecule: ribosomal RNA, 254 nt
Filed under: uncultured bacterium
Lineage: Bacteria
Description: partial 16S ribosomal RNA
Rfam family: Bacterial small subunit ribosomal RNA
Source: RNAcentral
UACGUAGGUGGCAAGCGUUGUCCGGAUUUACUGGGCGUAAAGAGCGCGCAGGCGGUCGUUCAAGUCGCGUGUGAAAGCCCCCGGCUCAACUGGGGAGGGUCACGCGAUACUGAUCGACUCGAAGGCAGGAGAGGGUAGUGGAAUUCCCGGUGUAGUGGUGAAAUGCGUAGAUAUCAAGAGGAACACCUGAGGUGAAGACGGGUUGCUGGGCCGACACUGACGCUGACAGCGCGAAAGCCAGGGGAGCAAACGGG